This 5023-nucleotide ribosomal RNA is filed under the name Triticum aestivum (bread wheat). Its description in RNAcentral is "partial small subunit ribosomal RNA". Lineage: Eukaryota; Viridiplantae; Streptophyta; Magnoliopsida; Poales; Poaceae. The record is from RNAcentral.
CGCUAAAGUGCGCUUGCUAAAAAAGAACGUAGCUCAUGGAAUAGGAAAGGGGAGCUCGUGACGGAGUGGGUGAGGGGAUUCAGAUCGGGGGGCCGCUAAUGUCGCCGCUCAGGAAGGCCGCUAACCUCGUCGUCGCUCACCGCGCCCUCACGCCGCCUCUCCUACGCCCUCCCGACGCAGGCACGCUAUCCCGCUGUGUACGGCCCGUGGUGCGGCGCGGACGCCCUCCUCCACCGCCGCUCCUACGCCGGCCGCCCUCCCUCGAGGAGGACGUGCAGGUCCCGCGGCAGGCCGUGGUGCUCACGCGCAUCCGGCGUAGGCCCUCACGCUCUUCGCACCGCGACGGCCAGCGCGGGCGGUGACUGUAGGACGGCGGCGCCGCACCAGCCGCCCCUGGGCAAGCGCCGCAGCGAAACAGCCCAGCGCGCUCAUGCCGCCGCUCCUACACCUACCGACGUAGCCCGCCGAUGCAUCGGCCAUCUAUACCUCCGCCGGCGCCGUGAGCUCUUCUCCCUCGCCGAUCACUAACCCGGUUCCAGACCCAGGAGGGCAGCAGCGUGUGCCAGCGACUCCUCUCAGCUGCCGAUACCUCCUGCAGCUCACCGCCACCGUCGGCGAGGGCGAAGACGAGGCUCACAUAGUUACCGCAGCAGGCGGCAGCUGGGGAGGUAAACCCCGAACGAGCUCCCCGCCUCGGUCCUAAACUCAUACUCCCUCGCUUCUCCGGUUAUGGUUCGUUAGCAUAUAUUUUGUAUAUAUUUUCCUUAUUCCGGACGUCCCGGACCACGCACCCAACAAGCCCGACCCCGCAAGAGGAGGGCUUAACUCAACAAGCUAGCUACGGGGAGAACAGGGCUUGCAAGCCUGACCCUCGUGGGGCCUGGCUUGCCAGCCCUCAAUAGCUGCAGGUUUUCUUUUGGUAAAAUAUAGACGUUGGUUGUUUUGUACAAACUACGUGAUGCUCGCGCUAUGUUUACCCUCCAUUGGACGUGUUGUUGGGUAUGUUGUAAUCUUUUGAAUGUGAUACUCUACAAACUAGAUGAACAGUACUACUGUUUUCUAUAUAAAGGAUGAGGCAACAGUUAAGGCGAAACGUUCCGAUAGACAUCGUUUACUUUUUGUUAAUGCUCUUUCCAAAUCCAACGAACCAUGGGCGACCAAAAAUACCUACAAAUUCUCCAAUCAUAGUGUUGUGUUUGAGUAUUAAGAGUACAUUAAUGGUACACUGUGUACACCAUUCAUUAAGUUUGUUAAGAUUUUUUUUCAAACUUGUUACCUGUAACUUCUUACUAGUUACUCGCUUAAUUUGCGUUGAGCCUACCAAUCUAAAGAACACUACCUUGGUUGGGUAGUUUCAAGUACAGAAUCUGAACCGUGACUAUCAACACAAAAGACCUAAAUAAAGGCCGGAAGGCCGCUACACGCAAGUCACCCUCCUCUCCAAGGACAGCUGAUGCUUACGCAAGCACCACUGAAGCAGUUAGAAUUUUACAACACAACUGACUCAUAGAGCCUCUACGAGUAUCCCUAUCUGACACCCACGCGUGCAAUUAUCUUAACGCCCAUACAUGCGCAUACAUUCAUAGACGUAAACAUGUCACAAUUUUUUACUAGUUGUUACCUGUAGUUGUGCAUGCCAACAUUUUUUUCACGUUUUUUUCACGUCAAAUCGCUUUACGACCAAGUACGUUUCUAACGGAGGUUAAAGGUACCCUAGUUGGCUGGUUUUCAUCAUGAUCAGAUGUUCUGCUUCUUUUCUUCAAUUCUUUUCUGACGAGGAGUACUAGGACAACUGCCCUCGUUGUUUGUUUGAUUGGCCGUGCCCUCUCUAGGCGCCGAGGCACAGGGCUAAGAGGACGCUCAGGACAGGGCGCGGUUCGGCGAGUUGGUCGCUUGGCGGACGACUGGGGUGUAGGGCGAGCGGGGGCUGCACGCCCCUAGUGGGGCGCAAGGGGUUUGAGCACACGUACCGCGCGGUGCAUGCGGGUAGCGCGUUUGUGUCGCGGAUUUUGGGCGCGGGUUUGAUUACCACCGUGAUGGUCGAAUCUAGCUAGGUGGGUAGGUAGCCGGCUAGCCGUACCGCCCCCACCCUCCGGCCUCGAGCGCGCGGCGGCCGUUCGCGCCCCCGCCCCGCCGCAGCAGCAGGCGCCGGCGCAGCCGCACGCAGAUGAUGCGGUGGUGCCCCCACGAGCACCGCGAGACGCAGCGGCCCCGGAUGAACGAGUGCAGCUGGAGCAGGCGCAGGUAGCGGCCCGGCCUGCUGCCCCUGUUCCGCCGGCGGCAGUGCCGCAUGGCGGUGUGGUGCGCGAGCAGCAAGCGCAUGCUCCACUGGUCCCUCUUCCGCGGCGGCAGCGGCGGCGCGCUCGGGCUCCGGCUCCUGCCCUGCGACCCGUUCCUCCUGCGACCGAGGCUCCUCCUACCGCCGCGGCUAGUCCUCGCGCCGUCGCGGCAGCGGCGCCGCCGGCACCUGCUGGGCGUACGGUUCGGGCUAGACCUGCUCGCACAGAGGCCGCCGCUCCUGAGGUUCUCGCUGCGCCGCCGCCACCUGCUCCUGGUCUCGUUGCUCGCGCAGGCGCAGCGGCGGUCGCUCCGGUGGCGGCUCCUCCUCCUCCUGCGGUGCCGCCGCUGCCCGCGCCUGUUCCUCGUUCUUUGCGACCUGUUGCUAGUCCUUCUUCUCGUCGUCAGCGUAGACGUCUACGGCGCGCGGUGCCACCUCCUCUCCUUGGACCUGCCGCCGUAGCUCCUCCUCUCGUAGCGCGCCGUCGCCGUCUCGCUGCUCCUCCUCGCAUACUCGCGGCCGCUGCUCGUCGGGCCGUGCCCGUAGGAGGCGGCGCUCCGCGUCCUCCUGCUCCGCCGCCUCGCCGUCAGCCUACUCCUAUCUGGGCUAGUCCUCGUCUGUCUCCUCCUGGCAUCGUCGCUAGUUUGCGACCAGCUCCUCCUGCCCGCGUGCAACCACCUCCAUCUCAGGCUGGGGCCCGUUCUUCUGCCGCCGCCCCUGCUGUUCCGUCGACGGCUCAGGCUCGUGUUCCUCCUGUGCCUGCCGUCGCCGCGGCCGAGCCACUUGGUGUUGCAGCAGCUAUGCGACGUUCCGCUCCCGAGCCGGCAGCCGCGGCUUCCUCUGGUCUCGCGCACCCGUUGUGUCGCGCUAGUCAGCGUGGCCCUCUUCCUGGCCGCCGUCCUUCUGCGCCCGCUGCCGUUGUCGUGCCUGCCGCUCCUCGUCGUGCUCACCGCCUGCACGUUGCAGUUCCGGCCGCGGCUGAUGUAGGGCACGGACCUGUUGCUCUUCCGGCAGUUCUUCGACGCCGGCCUCUUGAAGGCCGCGAUGCUCGUGGCGCUCGCGGUGACGGGGCUGCUCCCGGGCUGCACGGAGCAGCGCGAGGGUUCACCGAUGGCGGCGGGGCAGCUCACCGGUUUCUCGGCGCUGUCCUAAACCGACUCGUUACACGGCGUGUGCUUCGACCAGGUCCACUUCCCCGUGGUCUUGACCCACUUCCACUCGCCCGUCAUGGACGAGAAGGGGCCGCCGCCGUGCGUCAAGUAGGUGCCGCGCGACGUGAUGUAGCUGAAGGACGUCGUCAGCCACGCGCCGCAGCGCACCCCCUUCGCGUGCGCCCACCACGACCUGCACCCCACGCCGCACCGGUCGAAGCCCCCGAUGGACAAGCUCGCCCUGCACCACUGGUACAGCAAGCGCGGGUUCCUGCUCGUGCUCCGCGUCCACGUCUACCGCGACCUCGCGCCGUAGGGCCGGUAGAGGCGGCAGUACCCGAGGUUCGCGGACGGGAAGGGGUCGUUCCGGAAGCUGGAGCAGGUGACGCGCGCGACGGCACAGGGGACCGUGCGGCUGCCGCCGCGGGAGGAGGAGCUCGAGUUGGCGCAGGAGGCGGGGCCGCCGGAGAAGCAGACCAGGCGGUGCGGGCAGAUGGUCUUCGAGUGGCUGCUGCAGCUCUAGACCUUUCGUUACUGCCGAGACUGCUUUAGGUACACGACCCUCGACCACUGCUAGUUCUUUCUGGCCGAGUUGCCGCAGCCGCGGCGGAAAAUGGCCUUCGGCUGCAGGUUGCUCACGAUGCUCUCGUCCCCCGCCGUCGUCGGAGGGUACACGUCGCUGCUGCUGCUGCGGUUGCGGCGCACCAUGCAGGCGGACUUGCGGACGUAGGUGGCCCACGGCUGGCCGCGCCGCCUCGCGCCCCGGUCCACCGGCCGCCUGACCGGCGCCGCCCACGCGCGCGGCGGGUUGACCGAGUUGUGGAGCGUCCAGCCCCACAUGCCCUUCCGCCGCGGCCUCCUGAAGCACCGCCUGAUGGUCGUGACCUCCGCGCAGUACCUGUUCAGCAUGGAGUUGCCCGACCCGCAGCUGACCAGGUCCCACUCCUUGCAGUACCUGUACUCUCGGCGGAUGCCUCCCAAGCGGCGCCGCGACUCCCUGGUCUUCCAGACCCACUACUUGCAGCAGUUGCAGCUGCGCGGCCUGUGCGACGGGUAGUAGAAGCUGGCGCCCGACAAGCCGUACAUGGUACUGACCACGCUCAGGAAGUCGUGGAUGGGCUCCUGGAUGCUGGAAGACGUGCGGCUAGUGGAGAAGAGUUUCUAUUUCCUGUCCACGCGGCACAACGGCCAGCAGCAGCUCCACCUGUCCUAGCACUCCGGCCCUCCCUCGUAGUAGCACGCGCUGCUGAGGCCGGAGUAGCCGCUCCACCUCUUCGAGAACUCCAGCGAAGUGACCCUGCACUCCGAGUGGAAGAGGUUCUUGCUGUUGCCCCACGACAAGCGGCUCUUUAGCCUAACCGCCGGCCUCGACCAGCGGCUCGGUUGGAUUUAGUUCGGUAGAGGUAAGAGUACUAAUGUUCGUUAAAAGUGGGAGGUUUUCUAUCUAUCCCAAAAAAAAACAAGAAAAAAAAGUAAGAAAGAAACCAAUCGUAACUACAUCAUACGCCUUGAAUGAUUGAUGGGAAGUUUAUUCUGUACCAAAACAUUACGUCAUACAUAGAUUCUGAGUACGUAUCUUGACUCUGCUCACCUC